UGGGGAAUAUUGGACAAUGGGCGCAAGCCUGAUCCAGCAAUGCCGCGUGUGUGAAGAAGGCCUUCGGGUUGUAAAGCACUUUUAUCAGGAGCGAAAUACGAUGGGCUAAUACCCCGUCGGGCUGACGGUACCUGAGGAAUAAGCACCGGCUAACUUCGUGCCAGCAGCCGCGGUAAUACGAAGGGUGCAAGCGUUAAUCGGAAUUACUGGGCGUAAAGCGUGCGUAGGCGGUGAUUUAAGUCUGCUGUGAAAUCCCCGGGCUCAACCUGGGAAUGGCAGUGGAUACUGGAUCGCUAGAGUGGGAUAGAGGAGGGUGGAAUUCCCGGUGGAGCGGUGAAAUGCGUAGAGAUCGGGAGGAACAUCAGUGGCGAAGGCGGCCAUCUGGAUCAACACUGACGCGGAGGCACGAAAGCGUGGGGAGCAAACAGG
Molecule: ribosomal RNA, 429 nt
Filed under: Bacillota bacterium
Lineage: Bacteria; Bacillati; Bacillota
Description: Firmicutes bacterium partial 16S ribosomal RNA
Rfam family: Bacterial small subunit ribosomal RNA
Source: RNAcentral